UCCCUGGUGGUCCAGCAGUUAAGACUCCACACUCUCACUGCUGAGGGCCCAAGUUCAAUCCCUGGUCAGGGAA
This 73-nucleotide transfer RNA is filed under the name Bos taurus (domestic cattle). It matches the Rfam family "tRNA". Rfam says of the family: Transfer RNA (tRNA) molecules are approximately 80 nucleotides in length. The record is from Rfam by way of RNAcentral. Lineage: Eukaryota; Metazoa; Chordata; Mammalia; Artiodactyla; Bovidae. RNAcentral also lists the same sequence under 2 other names.